GACACCUUCGUAUUGAACAAACAGCAAUUGCAGUUAAAAACAAACCAAACUAAAUUCAAGAAUAUCGAUAGCCUAUCUUCUAACUCAAACACCCCAAUCACAGUUUGCAUUUCUGAGUUAAACACUGCUCUGACAACUGCCACCUCAGUCCCAAAUCCCAACCUGUUCGUCGAUACCACACACCAUCGGGUCUCUCCGUCAAAGAAGCCCACCGAGCCGUGAAUACUCGUAUUAGGUAUAUGCUGCUAUAGGAUCAAUAGCCCCCAACCAUAGUCCAUCCAUAUAGUCAAUCACAGGCCGAUUCGGCUCAUUGGCAGUAAACUGUCGUCGUCGGGAAAUGGAAGCAACUGAAGGGACGAGUUUCACCUUUCUUCUCUUUUUGUUUCGGAUGGCUUCAUUAGAAGACUGAAUUCAGGUUGAUUAGAGAAAGACUAAAUGAUGAUGGAAACGUUGCAGCUAAUGACGGUUGAUUGUGCGAGGGUAUCCAGAUCGCACAAUUGUAAUUAUGUCUAAGAAUCGCCGGUUGAUGAAAUUGAAAUGGGUACGAAUGUGGCGAACAUGGUCUUCGACACUUCCUGAAACUUCGCAGACAAGGUAACAGUCAGACAUCAUCAAUCAACGAGAAA
This is a long non-coding RNA of Culex pipiens pallens (northern house mosquito), 626 nucleotides long. RefSeq lists it as uncharacterized. NCBI's taxonomy places the organism in Eukaryota, Metazoa, Arthropoda, Insecta, Diptera, Culicidae. The record is from RefSeq and is a predicted model, not a curated record. The transcript has 2 exons.